Molecule: ribosomal RNA, 243 nt
Filed under: uncultured Staphylococcus sp.
Lineage: Bacteria; Bacillati; Bacillota; Bacilli; Caryophanales; Staphylococcaceae
Description: partial 16S ribosomal RNA
Rfam family: Bacterial small subunit ribosomal RNA
Source: RNAcentral
CGGCGGACGGGUGAGUAACACGUGGAUAACCUACCUAUAAGACUGGGAUAACUUCGGGAAACCGGAGCUAAUACCGGAUAAUAUAUUGAACCGCAUGGUUCAAUAGUGAAAGACGGUUUUGCUGUCACUUAUAGAUGGAUCCGCGCCGCAUUAGCUAGUUGGUAAGGUAACGGCUUACCAAGGCAACGAUGCGUAGCCGACCUGAGAGGGUGAUCGGCCACACUGGAACUGAGACACGGUCAG